GACGAACGCUGGCGGCGUGCUUAACACAUGCAAGUCGAACGGAAAGGCCCUGCUUUUGUGGGGUGCGCGAGUGGCGAACGGGUGAGUAACACGUGAGUAACCGGCCCUAGACUUUGGGAUAACUUCAGGAAACUGGGGCUAAUACCGGAUAGGAGCUCCUGCUGCAUGGUGGGGGUUGGAAAGUUUCGGCGGUUGGGGAUGGACUCGCGGCUUAUCAGCUUGUUGGUGGGGGAGUGGCUUACCAAGGCUUUGACGGGUAGCCGGACCGAGAGGGUGACCAGCCAGAUUGGGUCCGGGCUCCGGCCGGAGGCCCUACGGGAGACAGCUGUGCGGUAUAUUGCACACUGGGCGGAAGCCUGAUGCAGCAACGCCGCGUGCUGGAUGUCGGCCUUCGGUUUGUAGACCGCUUUCGCCUGUGACGAAGCGUGAGUGACGGUAAUGGGUAAAGAAGCACCGGCUAACUACGUG
RNAcentral lists this ribosomal RNA (468 nucleotides) under uncultured bacterium. Its description in RNAcentral is "partial 16S ribosomal RNA". It matches the Rfam family "Bacterial small subunit ribosomal RNA", at positions 28 to 507 of the family's 1533-position model. The record is from RNAcentral.